GACGAACGCUGGCGGCGUGCUUAACACAUGCAAGUCGAACGGAAAGGCCCUGCUUUUGUGGGGUGCUCGAGUGGCGAACGGAUGAGUAACACGUGAGUAACCUGCCCUUGACUUUGGGAUAACUUCAGGAAACUGGGGCUAAUACCGGAUAGGAGCUCCUGCUGCAUUGUGGGGGUUGGAAAGUGUCGGCGGUUGGGGAUGGACUCGCGGCUUAUCAGCUUGUUGGUGGGGUAGUGGCUGACCAAGGCUUUGACGGGUAGCCGGCCUGAGAGGGUGACCGGCCACAUUGGGACUGAGAUACGGCCCAGACUCCUACGGGAGGCAGCAGUGGGGAAUAUUGCACAAUGGGCGGAAGCCUGAUGCAGCAACGCCGCGUGCGGGAUGACGGCCUUCGGGUUGUAAACCGCUUUCGCCUGUGACGAAGCGUGAGUGACGGUAAUGGGUAAAGAAGCACCGGCUAACUACGUG
This 468-nucleotide ribosomal RNA is filed under the name uncultured bacterium. RNAcentral's name for it is "partial 16S ribosomal RNA". It matches the Rfam family "Bacterial small subunit ribosomal RNA", at positions 28 to 507 of the family's 1533-position model. The record is from RNAcentral.